AAUGUGAGAAAGAGCUCUAAGAUAGUUAAGUAGAUAAAAGCAAGGUGUCAAACUGUAGAGUAUGUUUCCAUUUAUGUAAAGAAGAAACAGGCUAGGCAAGGUGACUCACGCCUGUAAUCCCAGCACUUUGGGAGGCCGAGGCGGGUGGAUCACCUGAGGUCCGGAGUUCAAGACCAGCCUGACCAACACGGUGAAACCCCAUCUCUACUAAAAAUACAAAAGCUGGGUGUGGUGGUGCACACUUCUAAUCCCAGCUACUCCGUAGGCUAAGGCAGGAGAAUCGCUUGAACCCAGGAAGUGGAGGUUGCAGUGAGCCAAUAUUGUGCCAUUGCACUCCAGCUUGGGCAACAAGAGCGAAACUCCAUCUCAAAAAUAAAUAAAUAAAUAAGAAACAUUUGUUUAUAUGUACACACAUAAUCUCUGAAAGGGUAAAAGUGGCAUACUGGUUGGCCAGAAGAAUUGGGAGGACAGUGAUGAGG
Molecule: long non-coding RNA, 479 nt
Filed under: Homo sapiens (human)
Lineage: Eukaryota; Metazoa; Chordata; Mammalia; Primates; Hominidae
Description: LHRI_LNC410.1
Source: RNAcentral